RNAcentral lists this ribosomal RNA (491 nucleotides) under uncultured bacterium. RNAcentral's name for it is "bacterial SSU rRNA". It matches the Rfam family "Bacterial small subunit ribosomal RNA", at positions 30 to 515 of the family's 1533-position model. The record is from RNAcentral.
AUUGAACGCUGGCGGCAUGCCUUACACAUGCAAGUCGAACGGUAACAGGCCUUCGGAUGCUGACGAGUGGCGAACGGGUGAGUAAUACAUCGGAACGUGCCCGAUCGUGGGGGAUAACGCAGCGAAAGCUGUGCUAAUACCGCAUACGAUCUACGGAUGAAAGCGGGGGACUCGCAAGGGCCUCGCGCGGACGGAGCGGCCGAUGGCAGAUUAGGUAGUUGGUGGGAUAAAAGCUUACCAAGCCGACGAUCUGUAGCUGGUCUGAGAGGACGACCAGCCACACUGGGACUGAGACACGGCCCAGACUCCUACGGGAGGCAGCAGUGGGGAAUUUGGACAAUGGGCGCAAGCCUGAUCCAGCCAUGCCGCGUGCAGGAUGAAGGCCUUCGGGUUGUAAACUGCUUUGUACGGUAACGAAAAGCUACUCUCUAAUACAGGGGUGAAGUGACGGUACCGUAAGAAUAAGCACCGGCUAACUACGUGCCAGCACG